Molecule: unclassified non-coding RNA, 303 nt
Filed under: uncultured Ascomycota
Lineage: Eukaryota; Fungi; Ascomycota
Description: sequence contains ITS1
Rfam family: 5.8S ribosomal RNA (bases 1-105)
Source: RNAcentral
GAAAUGCGAUAAGUAUUGUGAAUUGCAGAAUUCAGUGAAUCAUCGAAUCUUUGAACGCACAUUGCGCCCCUUGGUAUUCCGGGGGGCAUGCCUGUUCGAGCGUCAUUUAAAGAACCUCAAGCACAGCUUGGCAUUGGGCCUCGUCCCCGCUGUGGACGGGCCCCAAAGACCUCGGCGGCGGCUCGGAGCCUCAAGCGUAGUAGAAAUAUUCCCGCUUUGGAGGUCCCCGUGUCCGCUCGCUCCUAAAACACCACACCUCAAAAGGUUGACCUCGGAUCAGGUAGGGAUACCCGCUGAACUUAA